Molecule: transfer RNA, 72 nt
Filed under: Bos taurus (domestic cattle)
Lineage: Eukaryota; Metazoa; Chordata; Mammalia; Artiodactyla; Bovidae
Also listed under: 3 other names
Rfam family: tRNA
About the family: Transfer RNA (tRNA) molecules are approximately 80 nucleotides in length.
Source: Rfam by way of RNAcentral
UCCCAGGUGGCUCAGACGGUUAAGAGUCUGCCUGCAAUGCAGGAGACCCAGGUUCGAUCCCUGGGUCAGGAA